Long non-coding RNA from Quercus robur (English oak), 348 nucleotides. RefSeq lists it as uncharacterized. The record is from RefSeq and is a predicted model, not a curated record. The transcript has 3 exons. Lineage: Eukaryota; Viridiplantae; Streptophyta; Magnoliopsida; Fagales; Fagaceae.
AUGUUCUUAUCAUCCUCAGUCAUACAACUGCAUAGAAUUUUAAGGCAUUCUCACCACAAGUGACCUCAUCCAUAUGUCCAAAACGUUGCCAUGAUUUUGGACGUGAUUGGACCUGGAAAUAAAAGGUAAUAUGGGCAGGUAAAUGGAUUUCCUCCAUGCUACAACUGAUAAGAUACAGCUUAUAACAUAUAAACAAGGAGGUUAAAAAUGACUAGAUAUAUUGUCUUCAACCUGGUGAAGAAAAUUUAUGAAUGAGAUUGGUAGAAUGAGGAAUGAAUUCUUGUAAGUUCUUGUGUUAUUAUACAUGAUUGUACAUCUUGGAAGGUGCCACCUAUCAAAUGAUGCAAG